UCCGCAGUAGCUCAGUGGUAGAGCUAUCGGCUGUUAACCGAUCGGUCGUAGGUUCGAAUCCUACCUGCGGAA
RNAcentral lists this transfer RNA (72 nucleotides) under Bacillus subtilis. RNAcentral describes it as "tRNA-Asn". It matches the Rfam family "tRNA". From Rfam's summary of the family: Transfer RNA (tRNA) molecules are approximately 80 nucleotides in length. Their secondary structure includes four short double-helical elements and three loops (D, anti-codon, and T loops). Further hydrogen bonds mediate the characteristic L-shaped molecular structure. tRNAs have two regions of fundamental functional importance: the anti-codon, which is responsible for specific mRNA codon recognition, and the 3' end, to which the tRNAs corresponding amino acid is attached (by aminoacyl-tRNA synthetases). tRNAs cope with the degeneracy of the genetic code in two manners: having more than one tRNA (with a specific anti-codon) for a particular amino acid; and 'wobble' base-pairing, i.e. permitting non-standard base-pairing at the 3rd anti-codon position. The record is from RNAcentral. Lineage: Bacteria; Bacillati; Bacillota; Bacilli; Caryophanales; Bacillaceae.